This is a long non-coding RNA of Hylaeus volcanicus, 691 nucleotides long. RefSeq lists it as uncharacterized. The transcript is spliced from 4 exons. The record is from RefSeq and is a predicted model, not a curated record. Lineage: Eukaryota; Metazoa; Arthropoda; Insecta; Hymenoptera; Colletidae.
AUAAUAAGAAUAAUUUGUCUUUAUUGCCAACAGGUACAGUGAGAAGAGUACAAAUGUUAUUAAAUUUAAUUGGGAUAUUACAACUCAAAUGAGUAUUUUAGAUGAAUUGGAGAUGAGAUAUGAUAGAUGCUUCAUCUAGAGUUUCCUGAGGGACUUUGGACCAGAUAACAAAACCAUGUGACUUGCGAUAAGGACGAAACGGCGAGGUAUCGAGCCCUGUAUAAACACAGACUUAGUAAAAGUUUAUGCAAAUUACUAUUUAUGGUAUUUGAUACGCUCCUGAAUAGAGAGUUUAUGGAUGAGAUUAUAUUGCAAGUCGCGUGAUUUUAUUACCGGAGCUCAUCGUUUCGCUGGAUAAAAUAUAGAUUAUAUUCAGAUGUACACGUAAAAAUGAAUGGAACAGUCGUUAGAAUUUAUCUGGAAAUUCGUAUACAUGCUCGAGGUUGACAGCGCCGAGAGUCCGCUGCGAUUCCACAGGCUUUAUCGCAAAAAGGGAAUGAUUAAACAUAGCUUGGAAACAUCAACAGCCCCUUUUUUAGAUUUCGCAAAGAUCGAGAAUUUAUCAUUUCGCAGGAUGACAUAUUUCGUAUUUGAAAAUAAAGGAAAGAUUAGUCGGGUAAGUGUCGCCAUCUGGUGGUCGGGUCGAAAAAAGACGACGAGAUUUUGUGACAUCUUCACGUGAUAGAAAGGA